AAAACCGCCUUAGCAACAAACUCUCUUGCCUCGCUCCUGCUCUCUGGUUGCGUCCCUUUGCGUGCGUCCGAUGAUGUGACCGCGGUCGCCCAAUUAGGAGCGUAUAUUAGCGCGAAACCCGGAAGCGCGGCAGACGCGAGAGAGAUAAACGAGAGCGCGUGCUAUAGGAGCCAAAUACCAUUGCCCUUUGAGUGCCCAAGCGAGCCGUAUAGUGACGAUCGCACGGAAUUGGCCAGGUUCAGAUGGCGAGCUUUAAGCUCAGGUUCUGAUCUGGAACCCUGACACUCAACUAACUCCUGCCAGGAACCCCGACACCUCCACUUCCUCUGUCCGGGCUGUUCUGCUCCAGCCGUCCAGUGUGUUGACUUCAAUAAAAUGAUUUACGGGAGCUCUCCUGUGCGCCGUCUGUCCACUGCCUCCUCUGUGUCCCACCCUCCCAAUCACAUCCUCACGACGGAGUGGCUCUGGUACUGGAAGGAUAACGGUGGUGCGUGGGUGGAGUAUGGAGAGAUGCCAUUUUUGGGGCUCAGAGAGUUCGAAGACUUCAGCUCAAGUGGAACCUGCACAGAGACAGAAGGACAUAUAUUAUAUUGAGGACUCAGCGUUAAACUAUAAUCAGAGUUUUUUCUCACCUUUGUUUCAUCACAGGUCACAAUGGUGAACCUGCGUAAAAGAUUUACUAAAGCUAUCUUGAUCUCCAGCUGUGCCAGCCUCAUGCCCACACAGUUACGAGGACCCGCGCCAAAGGGAAGGUACACAAAAGGAUGACGAGUGGCCUUUGCCGCUGGAGUGAAUCUGAAAAACAACCACACAUCAUUUAGUUCACAAAAAAUAGACUGUGUUACUGGGUUUCAGAUUAAAUCACAGCAUUCUAUAGGCCAAAGUUAAUAAAUACAGAUGGAAUUAUUAAAAUAUUGUUCAAAAUUA
Long non-coding RNA from Boleophthalmus pectinirostris (great blue-spotted mudskipper), 927 nucleotides. RefSeq lists it as uncharacterized. Lineage: Eukaryota; Metazoa; Chordata; Actinopteri; Gobiiformes; Gobiidae. The record is from RefSeq and is a predicted model, not a curated record. The transcript has 5 exons.